Molecule: long non-coding RNA, 23262 nt
Filed under: Citrus maxima (pomelo)
Lineage: Eukaryota; Viridiplantae; Streptophyta; Magnoliopsida; Sapindales; Rutaceae
Description: long non-coding RNA (CMAX_LNC003662)
Source: RNAcentral
UUUAGUUAAAAUAAUGUAUUUCGUAUGGCACCCAAUGACAAUGUCAUAAUUGUUGACUUACUUUUUUUUUUUAUAAAUAGACCAAACCAUAAUUUAUUUUUUUCAUAUGUAUAACCCCACGCUCCUAUGAAUUAAGAGAGAGAGAAACGGAGAGAGAGAAAUAAAGAGGGAAAGAGAUGUUCGCGAUCCGACCCGAACCUUCGCGAUCGGACCCGAAUUUAUCUCCAUUUUCCAGCCACCUUACCGACCAAGGAAGGUACCAAUAGAAAGCUUGAGAACUGGCCGUCAUUUCCAUUCCGUCAUUGCCGUCGAUUAUUGGCCGGAAAGCCGUUUAUUGAAGCCGCAAAAUUUGGCGGUGAAGCCGCAUUGUUUCGCCGCUGUUCCGCUAGUUUUGGGUGAGGCGACCAGUUGGAUUUUGUUCCCCACAAUCCCCUCUGUCCUUUCCGACCAUCCACUGAGCCGGGAACUGCCCUGUCCCGGCCGGUCAGCCGUUGGAAAGUUCAUGGCUUUGGGAGCUCGAUCAGCCACCGUCGCCGCGCGUCGAUCGUCACCGCCGCCACCAUCGGACUCAGCGUGGUUGGAACUCUCAGGCUAGAGCUUCCCGACGGCCUUUGGUUGACUUUCGGUCAUCGUUGACCAGUAAGGCCAUUUCGGUAAUUUCGUAUCCGAGGGCAAUUUUAUAGUUUCACACUUUGCGGGUAUUUUAGUAAUUGUAUAAAUCAAGAAUAGGCUGGUAAUUUACGAUUUUGAGAUUAACUUGGUAAAUUAUGAUUUUGGGGGUAUUCUAAUAAUGUUAGAAUUUGAGGGUAUUUUGGUAAUUUUGUUAAAUUUGAAGGCGAUUUUAUAAUUUUUGGAUUUGUGCAUAUUUUGGUAGUUUCUGAAUUGGAGAAUAAUUAGUAAUUUAUGAAAUUGAGAAUGAUUUGGUAGUUUAUAAUUUUGGAAUUUUUAGAUUAUUUAUGUGAUUUAUGAGUUUGAGGGCAUUUCGAUGAAGGUUGGGUUAUUUGAACUCAACAAACGCCUCACUAAAUCUAUUUUUGAGAUUAAUCUUUUAUGAUUAAAAUACUCUUAAAUUAAAUUACAAUUAUGGAUAUUAAAAUAUAAUAAAAAAACAGAAUUUUAAUUUUUUCAGCCCAUUUAUACAUCAACAUAAUUUUGUUAAAUCAUAAUCUUAUUUUCAUUAAAUCCUAAUUAACUAGAGGCAUGAAUUACGAGUGGCAAUCUUUUACUUUCAAUUAUCUUCCUACGGUUUGAUGCGCAUUCAAAUGGAGCUCAUCAUCGAUCAUUGAGUCAUGUGCUCUGAUUAUAAUAUUAAUCCUUAAAUUUUCUGAAAACUUUAAUUAUCAUUAAUCAAAAGCAAAUUGUAUUUUAAUUAACGGGUUAAAUUUCUUUUCUUUUCAAUUUGGCCAUUUAGUGGAGCCGAAUUAAGCUAAGCCGCAUCACCAUUCACCAAUGGUAGCUCAGCCUCUCCGCUAACAAUAGGCAUGGCUGAUUCUCAAUUAUCUGAUUAUCAUCACAAGCUCAAGUAGCACCUACGCUAACAAAUUCAUUUUGAUUUAAUUACCAUCUCCAUCGGUGUUAAAAAAAAUAAAUGAUUUCAAUGAAGAUUUAUAAAUGAAGUUAAUGGAUUUAGCGAGUUAAAAUAUUAUUAUUAUAAAAAUUGAGUUUAGUGAGUGUAUAUUAAGUAUUUAUCCGUACUAAUAUUUUAGCAUCCUAAUGAUUUCAAUUUAUCCAAUAAAUAUACAAUUGAAUCAUCUUAUAAAAUAAGUAUCUAAUCCUACUUUGAAGUAUUAAAAAAAGAAAAAAAAAGUUGAAUUGAAGACAUAUUUGAAAAUAAAAUAAAUUUUAUUAUUUAAUAAAAUUAUAAAAAUGCAAGGGGUAUAUCCAAAAGUUUCCGGGGUCUAGCCCAGGCUUGCUGUCUUAAGCAAAAAUUCGAAUCAAAUCAAAAUUAAAUUCUUUUUCUCCUCUCAUUUUUUAGAUGGGUUUCUUUGAUAGCCAAUCGAGAUCAAAAAAAGAAAUGGCAAAGGGAGAAUGAAUACAAGUAAAAAAAAAAAAAAAGAAGAAUAAGAAUAAUAAUUUAAGUGACUAGAUUUUUUCUUUCCUUGAAAUAUUGUCAUGUCGAUAAUUUUCUCUGCUAUAAUUUAUUAAUAAAAUUUAAUCGACAUAUGCGUGAAGAAGAAGUGCAAUUUUUCAUGAGAGAUUGAAAAGUGACUAACAUGAAGUUAACUUUUUUCUUCAGUUAGUAAUUUCAGUUAGUUUUAAAAACGUUAUGUUUUUUACAUCUAAAUAAAAUAUAGAUAGGAGGACAGGGGUAGAAACUCUUACAUCAAGUGAGAAUAAGUUUUUAUGUACUAUAUAUAUAUAUAUAAGAGGAGAUUAUGGUGAUAGGUAAGAUUAAAUUUAUUAACAAAAAUUUAAAAACAUCUUAUUAAUAUAAAAUUAUAAAAAAAUAAAUAAAUACUCACCUUAGAAUUUCUUAAAUACCAUGUUUCAAAAUCUCUUAUAAAGUUUAGGAAAAAAAAAUUGAAGUUGAAAAUUUACAAAUCAUUUUCCUAAUUUGAGAAGAUAUAUAAGUUUAGUGAAACUUAAUAAGUCUUUUCCUUCUUCCUUUUCCUUAACUAGUCAGGCUUUCAUUUUCCUUGACUAGUUAGGAUAUACAUCCUUAUAUAAAGAUGCUUACAUUGAGCUCCCAAAUCCCAACUUCGCAAUAGAGUUAAUAAAUUAGAAGGUAUCGAGUUCUUGGUUUUCAGUUUUUUCUUGAAUCGUCGAUCAAAAAACUUGAUUAGCUAUGAAGCAGAAGGCAAUUGACUCCGAAGAAGGAUGGGACUAUUUGGAUCGGGGAAUCACAAAAUUGAAGAGGAUUUUCGAAGGAUUGCCGGAGCCAACGUUUAAUUUGGAGGAUUACAUGAUGCUUUACACAACCGUAUACAAUAUUUAUUCUGAGUCGACUUAUCCUCUUGACAAAAAUAGCAAACAGUUGUAUAACAAUUACAAGCAAAUACUUGAAGAUUAUAUGCCAUCAAAGGUAUUGCCAUCUUUGAGAGAGAAGCACGAUGAGUAUGAUUUGUUGAAGGAGCUUUUGAAAAGCUGGGCUAAUCAUAAAUUUUUGGUUAAAUGGCUUUCACUCGUCUUCCUUCCUCUUCAAGUUGAAUUCGCUUAUAUUACUCGAAAGAAACUUCCUAAACUUAAUGCGUUUGGACUUUCUUGCUUCCGGGAUCUGGUGUUUGAUGCUAUAAAGGACAAAGUCAAGGAUGCUGUAAUUGCUUUAAUCGAUAGAGAACGCGAGGGAGAAGAGAUUGACAGAACGUUGGUGAAGAAUGUAUUGAAUUUAUUCGUUGAGAUUGACGAGGGGAAGAUGCAUUGUUACGAAAAGGAUUUUGAAGAACAUAUGCUUCAGGAUACGGGGGCUUAUUAUUCUCGCAAGGCAUCAAAUUGGAUUCUUCAGGAUUCGAGUGAAGAUUACAUGCUCAAGGUUGGUGAAUGCUUGAAGAAAGAAAGAGGGAGAGCGUCUCAUUACCUGCAACCAAGCAGCGAGCGGAAAUUGACGGACAUACUAGAACAUGAGUUGUUGGUGGUGCGUGCAAGUCAGCUUCUUGAAGAAGGAGAAUUUGGAUGCAGACAAUUGCCUAGAGGAGAUAAGGUGGAUGAUCAUUCGAUUAUCUGCUGUGACAGCGAGAAAUCGAGGAAUGAAUUAGGCAUUGGAGAAACAUUGGAGUAGGUUCUUAGAUUGUGAUGCACACCAAGAAACCCUAAAGUUCCUAGUCAAUUUCAAGUCUAUUAAUUUUAUAAUUUCUAUUCCAUUGGAUUUUUUUUUUUUCCUUGAGCACUAAUUAAUUGGCAUUGCUGCCUUAGAUAUCGUGAUGAGUAAGCAUGCCGAUGAAUAUGUUUUAUACAUUAAUUAAAAAUUUUAGACAACCCCAUAGAUAAAGAUAGACCUAAGAACUAAUUAUGAACAAAAUAGUAAUGGGUAUAAAUUGCCUUCUCAAUAAUUAUUCGUUGCAUUGUGGUUCAUACGAAAGAAUAUGAAUAAGUUAUCAUUAUUUGUUCUUCUUUUCCUUUCUAAUUUUUUUUUUAGCGACUUCUUCAAUCCUUUCUCUCCCUAUCCCCAAUUAUUUUGAGAUUUCUCUUCACCAUUCGUUAAUUUUCCUUUUCAAUAAAUUUUGAAUGUAUUUCAUGAAUCCAAUUUGGUAAGCCAAUGUGUAUAACAAAAUCUCUCACCCCACCAACCAACCAUUUUUCUUAUUUUUCUUUCUUCAUAUAAAGUUCUUGUCUAAGAAUAGAGAAUUCACUUCCAGAUCACAAGUAUAUGGGCUUGGAAGUUGUUUUCCAGCUAAAACUUUUGGGCCAACAAUCAAGGCCUAUCAAGCAAACAACUUUUGUCCUCCUGCACUUACCUCGUUUCGUUGAUAAAGAAAAUCCCUUAAGUUGAUGAAUUUGUGCUUCGUAAUCCUAAUUGUUUGAAUUCCGUCAAGCAAUGCAACAGAACACAAAAUGUCCUUUUCACCCUUAGGAUUUAAUAUAAUACAUAUUUCAUCCCUAUAUUUUAAAUAAUAGUGUAAAGUAUUCUUUCAUUAAUUUGCCAUUAGUUUAUUAUAUUUUUUUUGCAAGCUCCAUUAGCAUACUUGGUAGUUUGCAUACAAUUUUUGACAAUUUAAUUUUUUAAAAUUAAAAAUUAAUAUAAUUUUUUUAUAUUUAGGGCUAAAUUAGUAAUUUAAUUAUUUUCUUUUUAUUAAUGUCCAAGUAAAAAAAUAAUUAUAAAUGGGCAAUAUUGUUAAAGUAAGACAAAAGAAAUAAAAAGUAACAAUAUGAAUAUCAAUACUUUAACGGCAGAGAUUUAAAAAAAUACAAGGACUAAAUAAAUAUUAAUCUUAAAAUAUAGAGACUAAAUGAUCUUUUAUCCUUUACACAACCGUAUACAAUAUUUGUUCCCAGCCGGAUCGUCUUCUUGAUGAAGAUCCCAAACAGCUGUAUGACAAGUAAAAGCAAGUACUUGAAGAUUAUAUGCCAUGAAAGGCAUUGCCAUCUUUGAGAGAGAAGCACGAUGAGUAUCAUUUGUUGAGGGAGCUUUUGAAAAGCUGGGCUAAUAAUGAAAUUUUGGUUAAAUGGCUUUCACGCGUCUUCCUUCCUCUUCAGGUAGGUUAUAUUCCUCGAAGGAAACUUCCUAAACUUAAUGCGAUUUUAAAGGAAAUAAAUGAUGAAAUUAUGAAAAUAUUGUUAAUUGUUAUUAUAUCAUUGAGUAAUAAUAAGAAUCUUAAUAUUAAAGUUUUAAUUUGCGUUCUAAAGUUCAUUUUAAAUUAGUUUAGGAGGUUUAAAAGUGAUUUUAAAAAUUUAAAAAUUAAUUUUAAUAUUUCAUAAAAAAAUUAAAAUUAUUUUUUAUCAAAAUCAGUCCAUAUGAUUUUAAAUUUAAAUUUAAAUUUAGAGAAUUAAUUUUAUAUUUUAAUACAAUUUUAAUUUUAUCCUCUACCAUUAUACUUUGAGUAAUGAUACAACCACAAACUCUUGUACAAAUUUAUUUUAUACAAACUGAUGUGGCAUGAUAAGAUUGAUUGAAUUAAAAAUCACUUGGCCCACAUGAUUUGUUUUUAUUAUUUUAUAUUUUCAUUCAACCAAUGAAUUAAUGACACGUCAGUUUAUACAAAAUAAAUUUAUAUAAAAAUUUAUAGCUGUAUCAUUACUCUUAUACUUUAGUUAAAAUAAUGUGUUUCGUAUUGCACCCAAUGACAAUGUCAUUAUUGUUGACAUACUCUUUUUUUUUUAAAUAGACCAAACCAUUUUUUUUUUUUUCUGUGUAUUACCCCACGCCCCUAUGAAUUAAGAGAGAGAGAAACGAAGAGAGAGAAAGAAAGAGGGAAAGAGAUGGGAGCGAUCCGACCCGAACCUUCGCGAUCGGACCCGAAUUUAUCUCCAUUUUCCAGCCACCUUACCGACCAAGGAAGGUACCAAUAGAAAGCUUGAGAACUGGCCGUCAUUUCCAUUACGUCAUCGCCGUCGAUUAUUGGCCGGAAAGCCGUUUAUUGAAGCCGCAAAAUUUUGCGGUGAAGCCGCAUUGUUUCGCCGCUGUUCCGCCAGUUUUGGGUGAGGCGACCAGUUGGAUUUUGUUCCCCACAAUCCCCUCUGUCCUUUCCGACCAUCCACUGAGCCGGGAACUGCCCUGUCCCGGCCGGUCAGCCGUUGGAAAGUUCAUGGCUUUGGGAGCUCGAUCAGCCACCGUCGCCGCGCGUCGAUCGUCACCGCCGCCACCAUCGGACUCAGCGUGGUUGGAACUCUCAGGCUAGAGCUUCCCGACCGCAUUUGGUUGGCUUUCGGUCACCUUUGACCAGCAAGGCCAUUUCGGUAAUUUCGUAUCCGAGGGCAAUUUUAUAAUUUCAUACUUUGCGGGUAUUUUAGUAAUUGUAUAAAUUGAGAAUAGGCUGGUAAUUUACGAUUUUGAGAUUAACUUGGUAAAUUAUGAUUUUGGGGGUAUUCUAAUAAUGUUAGAAUUUGAGGGUAUUUUGGUAAUUUUGUUAAAUUUGAGGCGAUUUUAUAAUUUUUGAAUUUGUGCAUAUUUUGGUAGUUUCUGAAUUGGAGAAUAAUUAGUAAUUUAUGAAAUUGAGAAUGAUUUGGUAGUUUAUAAUUUUGGAAUUUUUAGAUUAUUUAUGUGAUUUAUGAGUUUGUGGGCAUUUCGAUGAAGGUUGUGUUAUUUGAACUCAACAAACGGCUCACUAAAUUUAUUUUUGAGAUUAAUUUUUUAUAAUUAAAAUAUUUUUAAAUUAAAUUACAAUUAUGGAUAUUAAAAUAUAAUAUAAAAAAACAGAAUUUUAAUUUUUUCAGCCCAUCUAUACAUCAACAUAAUUUUGUUAAAUCAUAAUCUUAUUUUCAUUAAAUCCUAAUUAACUAGAGGCAUGAAUUACGAGUGGCAAUCUUUUACUUUCAAUUAUCUUCCUACGGUUUGAUGCGCAUUCAAAUGGAGCUCAUCAUCGAUCAUUGAGUCAUGUGCUCUGAUUAUAAUAUUAAUCCUUAAAUUUUCUGAAAACUUUAAUUAUCAUUAAUCAAAAGCAAAUUUGAUUUUAAACAACGGGUUAAAUUUCUUUUCUUUUCAAUUUGGCCAUUUAGUGGAGCCGAAUUAAGCUAAGCCGCAUCACCAUUCACCAAUGGUAGCUCAGCCUCUCCGCUAACAAUAGGCAUGGCUGAUUCUCAAUUAUCUGAUUAUCAUCACAAGCUCAAGUAGCACCUACGCUAACAAAUUCAUUUUGAUUUAAUUACCAUCUCCAUCGGUGUUAAAAAAAAUAACUGAUUUCAUUGAAGAUUUAUAAAUGAAUUUAAUGGAUUUAGCGAGUAAAAAUAUUAUUAUUAUAAAAAUUGAGUUUAGUAAGUGUAUAUUAAAUAUUUAUCCGUACUAAUAUUUUAGCAUCCUAAUGAUUUCAAUUUAUCCAAUAAAUAUACAAUUGAAUCAUCUUAUAAAAUAAGUAUCUAAUCCUACUUUGAAGUAUUAAAAAAAGAAAAAAAAAGUUGAAUUGAGGACAUAUUUUAAAAUAAAAUAAAAUUUAUUAUUUAAUAAAAUUUUAAAAAUGCAAGGGGUAUAUCCAAAAGUUUCCGGGGUCUAGCCCAGGCUUGCUGUCUUAAGCAAAAAUUCGAAUCAAAUCAAAAUUAAAUUCUUUUUCUCCUCUCAUUUUAUAGCUAAAUUUCGAUAAUUGGAAAACUAGACUAACGACACAAAGUCUUGAAAACAAAAUGGUUUGAUGGGUUUCUUUGAUAGCCAAUCGAGAUCAAAAAAGAAAUGGCAAAGGGAGAAUGAAUACAAGUAAAAAAAAAAAAGAAGAAUAAGAAUAAUAAUUUAAGUGACUAGAUUUUUUCUUUCCUUGAAAUAUUGUCAUGUCGAUAAUUUUCUCUGCUAUAAUUUAUUAAUAAAAUUUAAUCGACAUAUGCGUGAAGAAGAAGUGCAGUUUUUCAUGAGAGAUUGAAAAGUGACUAACAUGAAGUUAACUUUUUUCUUCAGUUAGUAAUUUCAGUUAGUUUUAAAAACGUUAUGUUUUUGACAUCUAAAUAAAAUAUAGAUAGGAGGACAGGAGUAGAAACUCUUACAUCAAGUGAGAAUAAGUUUUUAUGUACUAUAUAUAUAUAAGAGAGAUUAUGGUGAUAGGUAAGAUUAAAUUUAUUAACAAAAAUUUAAAAACAUCUUAUUAAUAUAAAAUUAUAAAAAAAUUAAAUACUCACCUUAGAAUUUCUUAAAUACCAUGUUUCAAAAUCUCUUACAAAGUUAAGAAAAAAAAAAUUGAAGUUGAAAAUUUACAAAUCUUUUUCCUAAUUUGAGAAGAUAUAUAAGUUUAGUGAAACUUAAUAAGUCUUUUCCUUGACUAAUUAGGCUUUCCUUUUCCUUAACUAGUUAGGAUAUACAUCCUUAUAUAAAGACGCUUACAUUAAGCUCUCAAAUCCCAACUUCGCAAUAGAGUUAAUAAAUUGGAAGGAAUCGAGUUCUUGGUUUUCAGUUUUUUCUUGAAUCGUCGAUCGAAAAACUUGAUUAGCAAUGAAGCGCAAGGCAUGUGACUCCGAAGAAGGAUGGGACUAUUUGGAGCGGGGAAUCACAAAAUUGAAGAGGAUUUUCGAAGGAUUGCCAGAGCCAGCGUUUAAUUUGGAGGAUUACAUGAUGCUUUACACAACCGUAUACAAUAUUAACUCCCAGCGGACUUAUCCUCUUGACAAAAAUAGCAAACAAUUGUAUAACAAUUACAAGCAAGUACUUGAAGAUUAUAUGCCAUCAAAGGUAUUGCCAUCUUUGAGAGAGAAGCACGAUGAGUAUGAUUUGUUGAGGGAGCUUUUGAAAAGCUGGGCUAAUCAUAAAUUUUUGGUUAAAUGGCUUUCACUCGUCUUCCUUCCUCUUCAAGGUGAAGGCGCUUAUAUUACUCGAAAGAAACUUCCUAAACUUAAUGCGUUUGGACUUUCUUGCUUCCGGGAUCUGGUGUUUGAAGCUAUAAAGGACAAAGUCAAGGAUGCUGUAAUUGCUUUAAUCGAUAGAGAACGCGAGGGAGAAGAGAUUGACAGAACGUUGGUGAAGAAUGUAUUGAAUUUAUUCGUUGAGAUUGACAAGGGGAAGAUGCAUUGUUACGAAAAGGAUUUUGAAGAACAUAUGCUUCAGGAUACGGGGGCUUAUUAUUCUCGCAAGGCAUCAAAUUGGAUUCUUCAGGAUUCGAGUGAAGAUUACAUGCUCAAGGUUGGUGAAUGCUUGAAGAAAGAAAGAGGGAGAGCGUCUCAUUACCUGCAACCAAGCAGCGAGCGGAAAUUGACGGACAUACUAGAACAUGAGUUGUUGGUGGUGCGUGCAAGUCAGCUUCUUGAAGAUGGAGAAUUUGGAUGCAGACAAUUGCCUAGAGGAGAUAAGGUGGAUGAUCAUUCGAUUAUCUGCUGUGACAGCGAGAAAUCGAGGAAUGAAUUAGGCAUUGGAGAAACAUUGGAGUAGGUUCUUAGGUUGUGAUGCACACUACGAAACCCUAAAGUUCCUAGUCAAUUUCAAGUCUAUUAAUUUUAUAAUUUCUAUUCCAUUGGAUUUUUUUUUCCUGAAGCACUAAUUAAUUGGCAUUGCUGCCAUAGAUAUCGUGAUGAGUACGCGUACCGAUGAAUAUGUUUUAUACAUUAAUUAAAAAUUUUAGACAACCCUAUAGAUAAAGAUAGACCUAAGAACUAAUUAUGAACAAAAUAGUAAUGGGUAGAAAUUGUCUUCUUGACAAUUAUUCGUUGCAUUGCGGUUCAUACGAAAGAACAUGAAAAAUUAUCAUUAUUUGUUCUUCUUUUCCUUUCUAAUUUUUUUUUUUAGCGACUUCUUCAAUCCUUUCUCUCGCUAUCCCCAAUUAUUUUGAGAUUUCUCUUCACCAUUCGUUAAUUUUACUUUUCAAUAAAUUUUGAAUGUAUUUCAUGAAUCCAAUUUGGUAAGCCAAUGUGUAUAACAAAAUCUCUCACCCCACCAACCAACCAUUUUUCUUAUUUUUCUUUCUGCAUAUAAAGUUCUUGUCUAAGAAUAGAGAAUUCACUUCCCAGAUCACAAGAAUAUGGGCUUGGAAGUUAUUUACCAGCUAAAACUUUUGGGCCAACAAUCAAGGCCUAUCAAGCAAACAACUUUUGUCCUCCUGCACUUACCUCGUUUCGUUGAUAAAGAAAAUCCCUUAAGUUGAUGAAUUUGUGCUUCGUAAUCCUAAUUGUUUGAAUUCCGUCAAGCAAAGCAACAGAACAGAAAAUGUCCUUUUCACCCUUAGGAUUUAAUAUGAUACAUAUUUCAUCCCUAUAUUUUAAAUAAUAGUGUAAAGUAUUGUUCCGUUAAUUUGCCAUUAGUUUAUUAUAAUUUUUUUGCAAGCUCCAUUUGCAUACUUGGUAGUUUGCAUACAAUUUUUGACAAUUUAAUUUUUAAAAAUUAAAAAUUAAUAUAAAUUUUUUAUUUUUAUUUUUAGGGCUAAAUUAGUAAUUUAAUUAUUUUCUUUUUAUUAAUGUCCAAGCAAAAAAAUUAUUAUAAAAGGACAAUAUUGUUAAAGUAAGACAAAAGAAAUAAAAAGUAACAGUGUGAAUAUCAAUACUUUAAGGGUAAAGAUUUUAAAAAAUAUAAGGAUUAAAUAAAUAUUAAUCUUAAAAUAUAGAGACUAAAUGAUCUUUUAUCUUUUACACAACCGUAUACAAUAUUUGUUCUCAGUCGGCUCGUCCUCUUGAUGAAGAUCCUAAACAGCUGUAUGACAAGUAAAAGCAAGUACUUCAAGAUUAUAUGCCAUGAAAGGCAUUGCCAUACUUGAGAGAGAAGCACGAUGAGUAUCAUUUGUUGAGGGAGCUUUUGAAAAAUUGGGCUAAUCAUGAAUUUUUGGUUAAAUGGCUUUCACGCGUCUUCCUUCCUCUUCAAUUCGGUUAUAUUCCUCGAAGGAAACUUUCUGAACUUAAUGCGAUUGUAAAGGAAAUAAAUCAUGAAAUUACGAAAAUAUUGUUAAUUGUUAUUAUAUCAUUGAGUAAUAAUAAGAAUCUUAAUAUUCAAAUUUUAAUUUGAGUUCUAAGGUUCAUUUUAAAUUAUUUUAUCAGGUUUACAAAUAAUUUUAAAAAUUUAAAAAUUAAUUUUAAUAUUUAAUAAAAAAUUAAAAUUAUUUUUUAUCAAAAUCAGCCCAGAUACUUUUAAAUUUAAAUUUAGAGAAUUAAUUUUAUAUUUUAAUACAAUAUUAAUUGUAUCCUCUACCAUUGUACUUUAGUUAAAAUAAUGUAUUUCGUAUUGCACCCAAUGACCAUGUCAUAAUUGUUGACAUACUUUUUUUUUUAAAAAUAAACCAAACCAUAAUUUUUUUUUCAUAUGUAUUACCCCACACCCCUAUGAAUUAAGAGAGAGAGAAAUGAAGAGAGAGAAAGAAAGAGGGAAAGAGAUGGGAGUGAUCCGACCCGAACCUGCGCGAUCCGACCCGAAUUUAUCUCCAUUUUCCGGCCACCUUACCGACCAAGGAAGGUGCCAGUAGAAAGCUUGAGAACUGACCGUCAUUUCCAUUCCGUCAUUGCCGUCGAUUAUUGGCCGGAAAGCCGCUUAUUGAAGCCGCAUUGUUUCACCGCUAUUUUGCCAGUUUUGGGUGAGGCCACCAGUUGGAUUUUGUUCCCCACAAUCCCCUCUGUCCUUUUCGACCAUCCACUGAACCGGGAACUGCCCUUUCCCGGCCGGUCAGCCGUUGGAAAGUUCAUGGCUUUGGGAGCUCGAUCAGCCACCGUCGCCGCGCGUCGAUCGUCACCGCCGCUACCAUCGGACUCAGCGUGGUUGGAACUCUCAGGCUAGAGCUUCCCGACCGCCUUUGGUUGACUUUGGGUCACCGUUGACCAGCAAGGCCAUUUCGGUAAUUUCGUAUUCGAGGGCAAUUUUGUAAUUUCACACUUUGCGGGUAUUUUAGUAAUUGUAUAAAUUGAGAAUAGGCUGGUAAUUUACUAUUUUGAGGUUAACUUGGUAAAUUAUGAUUUUGGGGGUAUUCUAAUAAUGUUAGAAUUUGAGGGUAUUUUGGUAAUUUUGUUAAAUUUGAAGGCGAUUUUAUAAUUUUUGAAUUUGUGCAUAUUUUGGUAAUUUCUGAAUUGGAGAAUAAUUAGUAAUUUAUGAAAUUGAGAAUGAUUUGGUAGUUUAUAAUUUUGGAAUUUUUAGAUUAUUUAUGUGAUUUAUGAGUUUGAGGGCAUUUCGAUGAAGGUGGGGCUAUUUGAACUCAACAAACGGCUCAAUAAAUCUAUUUUUGAGAUUAAUUUUUAUGAUUAAAAUAUUUUUAAAUUAAAUUACAAUUAUGAAUAUUAAAAUAUGAUAAAAAAACAGAAUUUUUAUUUUUUCAGCCCAUCUAUACAUUCAACAUAAUUUUAUUAAAUCAUAAGUUUAUUUUCAUUAAAUCCUAAUUAACUAGAGGCAUGAAUUACGAGUGGCAAUCUUUUACUUUCAAUUAUCUUCCUACGGUUUGAUGCGCAUUCAAAUGGAGCUCAUCAUCGAUCAGUGAGUCAUGUGCUCUGAUUAUAAUAUUAAUCCUUAAAAUUUCUGAUCAUUGAGUCAUGUGCUCUUAUUAUAAUAUUAAUCCUUAAAUUUUCUAAAAACUUUAUGUUAAAGUCUGAGCUUUAAACUGAUUUUCAGGAGGUCAACCGUCAUGUCGGUUUGUGGUUAUUUUGGUAUACAACAUGUCAGCUGUAAAGCAUACAAGUCUGUAUGACAGACUUGUAUCGUCAACCAAAAGCUUUUAGUAAAGCACGCACAUUUCACGUGCUUUCACUUACUCUGUACGACAUUGAAGAUUGUCGUUUUGGAGAAGAGUUCAACACGUGUCCUGAAGGCUGUUAAAUUCAGUUACUACAGGCGGAAAAAUUCUGAGUUCGUUAGCUAACAAACCCAGAUUACAGCUGGUUGACAGGGGGCCUUUGUAAUGGGCUUCAAGCUAGUAUAAAUAGUCUAAGGGACUGGGAAAUCAGGGUGUGUGUUGUUUGUAGCUUCAUCUCUAAACUUGUAACUUGUUCAUGGUUAUUGAAUCAAAGCUGUUGCUCUGUUCUUCAGUGGAUAUAGGCUGCCUCCAGCCGAACCACUUACAUUUGUUGUUCUUUGCAUACUGUUUCUGGGUGAUUCUUUUGUAUGAAUUUGAUUAAUUUAGAUCUUGAUUAGAGAGUUCAGCUAAAUCCUGGAGAAUCUUGAUUGGAAAUUAAAUCUGAUCUAGGUUCAACACUUUAAUUAUCAUUAAUCAAAAGCAAAUUUGAUUUUAAUUAACGGGUUAAAUUUAUUUUCUUUUCAAUUUGGCCAUUUAGUGGAGCCGAAUUAGGCUAAGCCGCAUCACCAUUCACCAAUGGUAGCUUAGCCUCUCCGCUAACAAUAGGCAUGGCUGAUUCUCAAUUAUCUGAUUAUCAUCACAAGCUCAAGUAGCACCUACGCUAACAAAUUCAUUUUGAUUUAAUUACUAUCUCCAUUGCUGUUAAAAAAAAUAAAUGAUUUCAAUGAAGAUUUAUAAAUGAAUAUAAUGGAUUUAGUGAGUAAAAAUAUUAUUAUUAUAAAAAUUGAGUUUAGUAAGUGUAUAUUAAGUAUUUAAGUGGUUGUAUAGAGUAAAAUUUUAAAAUUUUAAAAUUUUAAAAUUUAAUUGUAGGUUUAUUUAGUUAAUUGGUGUAAUGAGUAGUUUGGUGGGUUCAAAUAACCUGAUCUUUUCGAUAAUUUAUGAUUUUGAGGAUAUUUUGGUAAUUUAAGAUUGAAAUGAAGAUUAUUUGAAGUUAAGUUUAAAAUGUAUUUAUAUUGAGAAGUUUGGGGACAUUGGAGCUUAUGGUUAUGAUUUAAUUAUCUCUUAGUAUUUUAUUAAUUUUAAGCCGAUGAUAUUGAUAUGCUUUUGUUAUUUGAGGAUGUAAGGAGGUAAGUAAACUAGAUUUCUAAAUGAUGUGUUGUUAUGUGUUAUGUGUAAUUAUGGACAUGGGCAUAUGUAUGUGUGAAUGUUUCAUUAGCAUCAACAUGAAAAUGUAUUAUGUUUUCUGCGAAAUGAGAAAGUGGAUUUUAGCCAAACGGAACUUGAAGAAAGAAAGUUUGUUUUACAGUUUUGGCGUGGAUGCUUGAAUCCGCUACUUGCUUAGAGGAGGACACUCUAGAUAUUUUAUUAUGGUUAAGAGAUAAGCGGGCGAGAGACGCGUUGAUGUGAGUCCAAAGUGUAUGAAAGUUAUGAAAGUUAAGUGAGUGUCUUAUUAAGCUGUAAUUGAAUGAAGGUAGCUUAAGUAAAUGAUUUGAAAGAAAAUAUGAAAGUUUGAAAAUGACAGAAUGAGAUUUUAAAGAUUUGUUUUACAAUGUUUUUGAAUAUCAUUGCACGUCAUCCAUUUACAUUAUAUAUGUGUAUUUCUUUAUAUUUUUUGGUAUAUAAAAAACUGGUAUGUUUAUUGAAUUUCAUACUCUUUAUAGUUUUUUGUGAUUUAGUUCUCAGAAAUCAAGAUUGAUUCCUAAUGAGUGAUGAGAAAAACUUGAAUUAAAGACCGUAGAUGGUUUAUCAUAAAUGUAUAAAUUCUUCCGCUGCAGUGUAAGUAACAUAUUUGUAAUAAGUUAAAGUAAUACUAAUAUUUUAUCCUCCUAAUGAUUUCAAUUUAUCGAAUAAAUAUACAAAUCAUCUUAUAAAAUAAGUCUCUAAUUCUACUUUUAAGUUUUAAAAAAAGAAAAAAAGGUUGAAUUAAGGACAUAUUUGAAAAUAAAAUAAACUUUAUUAUUUAAUAAAAUUAUAAAAACGUAAGGGGUAUAAGCAAAAAUUUCCAGGGUCUAGCCAGGCUUGCCGUCGUAAGCAAAUAUUCGAAUCAAAUCAAAAUUAAAUUUUUUUCCCCUCUCAUUUUAUAGAUAAAUUUUGAUAAUUGGAAAACCAGACUAACGACACAAUGUCUUCAAAACAAACAAAGAAAGAUAGGAAGAAUAAGAAUACAAAUAAGUGAGAUGGGUUUCUUUGAUAGCCAACCGAGAUCAAACAAAGAAAUUGCAAAGGGAGAAUGAAUACAAAUAAAAAAGAUAAGAAGAAUAAGAAGAAUAAUCUAAGUGACCAGAUUUUUUCUUUCCUUGAAAUAUUGUCAUGUCAAUAAUUUUCUCUACUACAAUUCCUACAAUUAAUUGACAUAUGCGUGAAGAAGAAGUGUGUGUGUAUAUAUAUAUAUAUAUAUAUAUAGGAGAUGAUACUAGUAUAAAAUUAUAAACAAAUUAAAUUCUCACCUUAGAAUUUCUUAAAUACCAUGUUUCAAAAUCUCUUAAAAAGUUUUUAAAAAAUUUAAAUUUGAAGAUUUUUCAAAUCCUUUUCCUAAUUUGAGAAGAUAUAUAAGUUUAGUGAAACUUAUUAUUUAAAUCUUUUCCUUUUUUUUCUUUUCCUUGACUAGUUAGGAUAUAGAUCCUUAUAUAAAGACACUUACAUUGAGCUCUCGAGUACUGACCUCGCAAUAAAGUUAACAAAUUAGAAGAAAUUGAGUUCUUGGUUUUCAGUUUUUUCUUGAAUCCUCGAUCAAAAGACUUGAUUAGCAAUGAAGUGCAAGGCAAGUGACUCCGAAGAAGGAUGGGACUAUUUGGAGCGGGGAUUCACAAAAUUGAAGAGGAUUUUCGAAGGAUUGCCGGAGCCAGCCUUUAAUUUGGAGGAUUACAUGAUGCUUUACACAAUCGUAUACAAUAUUUGUUGUAAGCCGGCUCGUCCUCAUCAUGAUGAAGAUCCCGAUCAGAUGUAUGAUAAGUACGAGCAAAUACUUGAGGAUUACAUGCCGUCAAAGGUAUUGCCAUCUUUGAGAGAGAAGCACGAUGAGUAUGAUUUGUUAAGGGAGCUUUUGAAAAGCUGGGCUAAUCAUAAAUUUUUGGCUAAAUGGCUUUCUCGCGUCUUCCUUCCUCUUCAAGCCGGUUAUAUUCCUCGAAUGGCACUUCCUGAACUUAAUGCAUUUGGAAUUUCUUGCUUCCGGGAUCUGGUUUUUGAAGCUAUGAAGGACAAAGUCAAAGAUGCUGUAGUUGCUUUAAUUGAUAGAGAACGCGAGGGAGAAGAGAUUGACAGAACGUUGGUGAAGAAUGUAUUGGAUUUAUUUGUUGAGAUUGAAGUGGGGAAGAUGCAUUGUUACGAAAAGGAUUUUGAAGAACAUAUGCUAGCUUCAGGAUAUGGCGGCUUACUAUUCUCGGAAGGCAUCAAAUUGGAUUCUUCAGGAUUCGUUUGAUUACCUGGUCAAUGUUGGUGAAUGCUUGAAGAACGAAAGAGAGAGAGCCUCUCAUUACCUGCAACCAAGCAGCAAUCGGAAAUUGGCGAACAAAGUAGAACAUCAGUUGUUGGUGGUGCGUUCAGCUCAGCUUCAUGCAAAAAGGAGAAUUUAGAUGCAGACAGUUGCUUAGAGGACAUAAGUUGGAUGGUCAUUCGAUUAUAUGCUGUUAUAGCAAGAAAUCGAAGAAUGAAUUAGCCUUUGAAGAAACAUUGGAGAAGGUUCUUAAGCUGUGAUGCAGACCAAGAAACCCUAAAUUUCCAAAUCAAAUUGAAGUCUAUAAUUUUAUAAUUUCUAUGCCAUUAUUGGCACUGCUGUCAUACUUAUCCCGAUGAGAACGCAUCCAAUGAAAACGUUUUAUAUAUAUUAAUUGAGAAUUUUAGAUAACUCUAGGGGUUAAAAUAAAACUAAAUUAAUUAUGAACAAGGAUCCAAAUCAUCUUCAUGACAAUUAUUCAAAAAAUAUGAAUAAAUUAUCAUAUAUUUGCGCUUUUUUUUCACGACUUCUUCAAGCCUCUCUCUCCCUAACGCCAAUAAUUUUUAGAUUUCUCUCCACCAUUGUAUAUGUGAAGGUUUCACUGUCAAAUUCACUCAUUUUCCUUUCCAUUAAAUUUUGAAUAUAUUUUCAUAAAUCGAAAAUUAGGUAAACCAAUGUGUAUAACAAAAUCUCUCACCCCACCAACUAUUUUCCAUAUUUUUGUCUUUCUGUAUAUAAAAUUCUUGACCAAAAAUAGAGAAUUCACCACCCAAAUCCCAAUGAAGUGGCUAGGAAGAUUUUUUACCCCAACUAAAAUUUUUUAGCCAAGUACAACUUUAAUCUUCGUAUCUAUUAACAAAGGUACAGAUGAGAAAAAAUUCAAGUUUUUUUUUUUCAUUUUUAAACUAAGAACCAAGGCCAAUUAAGUAAAUAACUUUUGUUUCUCUUGCACUGCCCUUUUUCGUUGAUAAAGGACAUCCCUUGAAUUGAUGAAUUUAUGCUUUGUAAUUCUAAUUGUUUGAAUUCCAUCAAGCAAAGCACUAAGCAUUCUAGUGUUUUCAAUAGGCUCAUCCAUUGUUAAACUAAUAUGCGAAUGUAAAUAACUAAAUUAGAAUAAAAUUUAGAUGAUGUUUGUUUUUUAGUUUGAAAUCUGAAUUUAAUUUUUUUAUGACAUUUAUUUAUUUUAGUUUUUUUAAUUUAUCACUUAUUAUAAGACAAUUUUAUCUGAAUAGAAAAAGUAGAAAAAAUCUACUUUUAUAUGAAGUCUGAAGUUUAAAUGGAAAAUUUUAAUUUCAAAUUUCAAAAAUAUCAUUAACAAUUCAUAUAUUUCCAAUAUUAUGUAUACACCUAAUAUUUUUGUAUUUGAAGUGUUUUUAAUUGUUUUAAAUUUUUAUUCACAUGAUAAUAUUAACUAAACUGAAAUAUUGAACAAAUCAAAUUAUGUCCACUGUGAUGAAUCAAAAAUAAAGCAACAGUGAGUUAAUGUUAUAAUUACAUCUUUUAUUACAAAAUUAAAUUAAAAUCAACAAUGAUAUUAUUUUUUUUAAUGCUGCCAAACUAUAUGCGCCACUUAAAAGGAUAUUUAUGUCAAAUUACUAGCUUUUAAAUUUUUCUCUUCAGAUGUUAGAAAAAAAAAUGUCAUUAGAAAAAAAAAUGUCAUUUAGACCUAUUUAGAUUUCAACUAAAUUCAGAUUUAUUCAGAUUUCAGAUAAAAAAAAAAAAAAACGCAACCUUACUUACGCAUUUAUAAAUGUGUGUGUGUGAUAAUGGGUAACUAAAAAAUUAAUCGUUAAUUUUAUUUUGUUAUCUCAAUAUAAUUAGUAGUAGUAGUAGUAAUAGUAGUAGUAGUUGUAAUUGUGGUGAUAAUAAUAAUAAUAAUAAUAAUAAUAAUAAUAAUAAUAAUAAUAAUAAUAAUAAUAAUAAUCUCUUUUCAUUGGAUGAUUUUAUUUCUAAAUUGAUUUUUAUAAUAUAUGGGAGGAUAUAACUGGAAUUAUAUAAGUAUAAAAUUAAUUCUCAAAAUCAUAUUUUGAAAAACUACUUCUUCCCCUUUUUCUUUCCAAAAUCUACCGUAAGGUGAGAUGACUUUUGGGAAAAAUAUUAUCAAACAUCAAGAUUGCAUUUAGUUUCAGUCAAAGUUGAGAUAUGACACUACAAGAAAAUUGGCAAUAGAUGACAGUCACUUUAUCACAUAAAUGAUUUUCUCAUAUAAGUAUGCUAGAUUCGUGAUAGAAUUGUGGUCUAUCAAACGAUUAUUGAUGUACUAGUGAUAUAAUCUUUGUAUAUCAAUAAUUUAUGAUAUAUGUAUGAUAGAAAUUUACUCAGUCACACACAUUAUGAUAGAAAUCUUCUAUUAACCGUGUUUGCCUAAAAUUAAAAGUAUUAUUUUAAUUUUUUGAAAAAGUUAAACACAGAGUUUAACUUGUGAAAUGAUUUUUGAAAAAAAAAAAUAAGAAACAAAACGGUGCAUUUAACCAAAAUCUGAACAAAAAAAAAAAAAAACAAAAAAACAAAACCUAAGUCAUAAAAACUACACAAUGAAGUCAUCACCACUCUCUCACGCGCAAAGACCAUUGAAACCCAAGGCACAAUCAUCGUCACUCUCACUCCACAUUCAGCUCUAAAACCCUAGCCACAUUCAUCGUUAGACCCUCAAUCAAUCAGCCUACAUUCACCAUAGUCAUCCUCACUCUCACUCGGAAAAAGAGAAUUCAAACCCUUGGCACAUUAUCGUCACUGUCACUCUCACAAUGAACGCUUAAAGCCUAGUGAAACUCAUCAUGACACUAUCAAUUGAUAACCUCACUAGCACCACCCAAACCCUAGCUGGCCAAUUGUUUGCUACAUUUAAGUUUUCUAUACAUAAUUGGCCACUACUAGCACGGAGCGAAUGGCAACACCCAGAUAACAGGCCCAUUAAUUGAAAUUGAAAUGGCCACCAUGACCACGAAUGACAAUGGUGCGACGUGAUGUGAACCAUCAACACCCUGACAUCGUUACGCACUAGAGGAUUGCAGCUCUAAACCUUCAAUUCUAGGUUUUGUUCUUCUUCUUCACCUAAUUGUGUUUAAGGCCCCAAGUGAUUGAGUGUAAUUUUGUUUUUUGGAGAGUUUGCGAGCGAGCGACUGAGUGAAUAACAAAAUGAGAUGAUAAGUUUGAUUAAUAAGUUGCUUUAGAUGAUAAAGAUAGAGAGAGUGAAGGUUUUUUUCAUUUGCAAUGUAAAGUUAAUGUAGUUGGAGAUGGGCAGAGAAAGUUGAGACUGUAUAAGGUGUAUGCUCACUUAUCAUUACAUUUCACUAGUCAUAACUCAUCCAUUUCUUCUUAUUAAACAAACAACAACUUUUGCAUAUAUUUCAUGCUUGGAAGUGUAUAUAGAGAUAGAAAAUGGUGUUGCUACAUCAGAUACCCUGCGUUGGAUAUCACAGGGGCCACUUUCUUUUGUGGUUAAACACUCUGGAUAUAACAUUAAUGGUUUCCAUUUUGUAACAAGAGAUCGAGACUCUACUCGUGUUAUUCAAAACAGUGACGUAACUCUAGUUGCAGAAGCUAUGCAUGUUGCUAGUGCAAAAGAUAAAAAUCCUAUAACAUGUGACAUGACAUUUUAUAGAGUUAUAGAUGAAAUAUGGGUUGUUGAUUACCAUUUGUUAAAAAUUCCUCUGCUCAAAAUAGUGGUGGUUUAAAGAAGGAUGAACAUGGAUUCAUCUUGGCGGACCUAAAUCGGUUAGGUUAUAAAUCUAAUCCAUUUAUAUUUGUUUCUUAAGCCAAACAAGUUUUUUAUGUACCUGACCAAGUAAAAAAAAAGUGGUCAGUAAUGUGUCAUAUGCCUACUAGAGGCAAUCUCAACCCUACAAAUGAACAUGAUGCGCAAAAUACAAUUGAGCACCCUCCGUUCACCACUGAAUUACCAACUAAUGAGUUCUUAGAAUCUGCCGACGGUGAAAAUGUAAUCUAUGCACGAAAUUCUAAUGAGGGAAUUUGGAUUAACGAUUGAUAUACCCUUUUACAAAGUUGACAGUAAGUAUCUAUGGACAAAAUUCUAAUUAUUAUUUAUUAUUUGAUUGAAACUAAGCUUUGAAAAUUAUGAUUGUCCAAAUUGUAGCUUUUGGAUGUGUUUGUUUCGUUAACAUGUUCCAAGGUGCUGUGGUUGUUUCUUUUUAUGUUAUGUAUUGGCUCUUUGAGAUGUUAUUUUUUGUUUAUUAAAGUAAAUUGUUAUUUGUAUAUUUCAGGUGAACUUAAAUGGAUAAAGGAAAGGGUACUGCUAAGGAUAAUGUGCUUGAUGAUAACAUUAAUGGUAUGGAUGAUGAUUACAAUGAUAUGCUUGAUUAUGGUGCCAAUCCUAAUGUUCCUUUAAAUGCUAUGGGCUCUAACUUUGAAGAAGAUGAAGAGGACAUGGCGGGUGUUGCUGAUACAAUCGUUGGUAUAGAAGGUGCUACAGACAUUGUUGAAGGUGCUGAUAUGGAUGCUCUAGAGAGUAGUAAUAUGACCUAGAGAGUGAAUAUGGGUGCUAGGCAGAACAAGAAACUACAAACGAGGAAAAGAAGGAUUUUCGAACAAUAUAAUGUAUUGGGCAUUCAUGCUGGUGAUGAAGCCACUAAGCUAGUUUCCUAUCUUAGAGUCUUAGCUCGUACUUUAGUUUCAAUUUUAUUUUUUGGUUGGCAUAAAAUUCCAGCGAAGACGAAGGAGCUUUUAUAGGAAUCCAUUCAAGUAAAUUUCCAAAUUCUUCAAUCUAUUGAUCUUUAAUCAAUUGUUUUGAUCUUGGUAACUAUUGUAACAUCAUAUAUGGUAUUAGGACUGCUUCAUCGGUCAUUCUAAAAGUAAGAAGUAGUUGCUGCAAUCAAUUGGGCGUACAGUUCGUAACUUCAAGUACAUGCUGACAAGAAAGUAUAUUGUGCCACUCGCACGAGACCGGAAGAGACUAUACAAACCUUUAAUUGAUUAUCCCCAAAUCAAGAAACCUAUUUGGAUAAAGUUUUCGAUCAACAUUUAUCAGAUGCCUUUCAAGUUAGUAUCUUUGACUUAGAUUUUCUUACUUGUUCAUAUUUGUUGGACAUAUACCAAUAAACACCUUGGUAUGUUGCAAUUAUUCAGAAAGUCAGUUGUGCAAAUAAGGAGAAAAUAGCCUCCAACAAGUUGAAUCAUCGACUCAGUCGAAGAUGAUAUGUUAGAUUGAUGCAAGAUAUGGUAAGUACAUAAUUGUCAGUUUAUAUUAACUUAAUUUGUUUAAAAUAUUAAUUAUUGAGUGGACUUAAAUAAUACGAUUUUUUUAUCCACUAGUGCUCAGAAACUAGUCUUUCAGAAGACUUAGUAGACAUGAGUGAACUUUGGAAGAGAGCCCGGAGAAUGAAAAAUGGAGGUUACGACCUUGAAACUGAGAAGAUUGUUAUGCAAAUGGUGAGGAGCUUCAAUAAAAUUAAAUAUUCUUUAAUUAGUUUAGCGUUAAUAGAUUACAAUUGUAUGCAAUUUCUAAUUUAUUUUUUAUGGUGAUAAGAAAAGCUCAAAAAAGAGGUUGAGAGAGGCUCCUUGAAGUUAGAUGGAUGAAACGAAAUACUUGCACAAUCAUUGGGAAACCUUCUUCGAACUGGGCAUAUGUAAGGUCUUGGUAAACUUGUAACACCUACCAAAUACUUUCACACAAUUCAUGGGCACAAUAAACAUGCUGUAGAGACUGACAUGCAUGCUGGAAAAAAGCAAUUGAAAGUCAAUUGGAGGAAAUCACCAAACAAUUAAAGAAAACACCUCGCCACUCAGAUGUGGGAAGUUGCACCGCCACUCAGAUAUGGGAAGUUGCACCUUCCUACCUAUUCCUAGCCAUGGUGUUGCUGAUUGCUUGGAAGAAAAGGAUAAUGACAAGGUGGAUGUAGUUGAACAGAAGGUUAGUUACUUUUUUUUUUCCAGCCUUAGUGCAUAUAUUAUGCAAGUAGGUUUAUUGAGUAUAGAUUUUUACCUUUGUAAUUUUUAAGAGCCUCCUAACUUAGAAAACUGAGCUGGCCAAGAGAGGAAAUCCUUACCUAAAAAAAUGGUAGAAAAGCAAGAAAAACUUGAUGAAAAAAAUGAGAGCACACCUAAGAAGAAAAUAGCACUACAAGAAAGCAGGCAAUAGAUGACGGGAAAUAACUGUCAUAAAAAGGGGUGCAUGACAGACACUUCAUCUGUCAUCUAUGUCACUAUCAUUAAUGUAUGACAGAUUAUUUGCUGUCAUAUAUUGACGAUGGUAUUUUAUAGUCAUAUAUCCGUCACGUAAUAUUUUAAUGUGAAAAAAUAAUUAACUUAAAAUUUGAAUUUAUUUAAAAUUUCGCGCCAAAUUUUUGAAUUUUGGCGGGAAAUUUUUAUUGUAAUUGGUAAAUUUUUUAUUCAGUUUUGGCGAGAAAUUAUGUUAUCAUUUGUAAAUUUAUUAUUCAUUUUUUGGCGGGAAAUUGUUUAUGACAGACCAUAUGAUGGGAAUUUCCCGUCAUAAAGUUAAUUUAAAAAAAACUAUUACAAUUAAUUUUUGUAUUCAUGUUACAAAUGUAAUUAAUUAAUAAAAAUGAGUAUCAUAAAAAAAGAAAAAUAAAAAUAAUUAAUAUUAAUUAACAAUUAAAAUUAAUUAAGAUCCACUCAUUCCAACAAGUUAAUUUCAAAAUAAAUACAUCUAGUAUCUAAUAUUGUCAUCACUACCAAUACAUAUAUAAGGAACAUCCGAAAUUUAAAAAAAAAAUUCAUCCAGUUAAACUACAAGAACAGAUUUCCAAAUUCCAGCCACCAAGCCAGUACAUGCAUCAUUCCACACCAGUGGCAUAACGACAACAAGCCAAUACAUCUUUCCACACCAACAAAAACCUCCAGCAGUAAUACAUCUUCUAACUACACGCCACUGCUAUUCCAGCCACUUACCCAACAACACUCCCAACACACAUUCAACAGUAACCCAACAUCUUCCAGCCUAACAUCUGUCCACACCACUAGUAUUCCAGUCACAUAUCCAGUAACCCUCCAAUCGAAACCCAACAAACCAAUACCAAUCUAUUCGGAAUCAAUCAAAAUACCCAAUGUUAUCAAAUGCAAAACACAUACACUACAAUUGUUAACAGUAACCAUUAUAAUUUGACACUAUAACUUUAAUUUCAAUAAAUUUUUACAACUAAUAUUUAUAGUUUCAUA